CCCCCAGCCAGCUUCACAUACUCAUUAUUAACCUGUCUCUCUCUGCAAUUAGGGCUCCACAUUUAAAACUCCUCUGACAGAGGCAUAACAAACCAACAUUAAGCUCGUUUAUUGUUAUUGCUCACUCAAAAUUUCUGCUUUCCAGCUAAAACACCAGCCUGGAUUCUCAGCCUCAGAAGAGCUAGACCCAAGGUCAGGAUCCCUAAUCUCAAAACCUCCUUUAACUUUACAAUCAACAAAUCCAGCAUUUGUGAAUGUUACAGAUUAUUUUCCAAGCUGUGGAGGGAGAUUUCUUUCAUAAUUGGAGAACAAGGAGAAGAAAACCUCGCACGGGAUUUGCCACCAACCUAAAUUUCCUAUUCCUCCCCCUCCGAGCAGGACACACACCUCCGUCCUCUCCCACUGUCCCACACCUUGUACUGCAGCAAACCAGUGCCUGCUGUACGUAACGGGCUAUUUAUAGGAAAGCCCCCUGUGGGUGGGGUCUGUUGUGACUUAGUGGGGUCUAUUGUAACUUAGUGGGGUCUGUCAUGACAGAGUGGGCCUAACACAUACACACACAUACACAGUUACAUGGAGGGUGGCCACCAAGAUGUGCUAGGGCUUUCUACCAGGCACCAUUCAGCCACAGCCCAUUGGUCCAGACAGGAGCGAUGCUUCUGGUUUCAGCAGGAAACAGGGGGGAGAAGACACCACACAAAUGCACAGGGCUCAACCUCCCCUCCAUGCAACCUGGCACAAGUUCUUGCGGAGAUGGGCUGUCCUGCACCAGCUGAAAACCCAAACCAUGUUGCAGGUGGCGUGAGCUUUCUCUUCUCUCAAGACAACACCAUUGCUCGAUGAUCACAAGUUGAUUGGAAAUGGAAACAAAUCCACCUGGAAAAAAAAAAUCAAACUUUUUUCCACCUCACGUGCUUUGAAACUCUCCCCUUUUCUAUGAUUUUCAUCAUUAAUUGAAGUUAUUGUUAUUUUAGGAAACCUUUUGAAACGUGCCUUUUGGUGAGAACAUGUAGGGUCUGGCCAAUAAAAGAAUUACUACCAGGAUUUCA
Molecule: long non-coding RNA, 1049 nt
Filed under: Anser brachyrhynchus (Pink-footed goose)
Lineage: Eukaryota; Metazoa; Chordata; Aves; Anseriformes; Anatidae
Description: lncRNA (ENSABRG00000016701.1)
Source: RNAcentral